GAUGAACGCUGGCGGCGUGCCUAAUACAUGCAAGUCGAGCGAACGGACGAGAAGCUUGCUUCUCUGAUGUUAGCGGCGGACGGGUGAGUAACACGUGGAUAACCUACCUAUAAGACUGGGAGAACUUCGGGAAACCGGAGCUAAUACCGGAUAAUAUUUUGAACCGCAUGGUUCAAAAGUGAAAGACGGUCUUGCUGUCACUUAUAGAUGGAUCCGCGCUGCAUUAGCUAGUUGGUAAGGUAACGGCUUACCAAGGCAACGAUGCAUAGCCGACCUGAGAGGGUGAUCGGCCACACUGGAACUGAGACACGGUCCAGACUCCUACGGGAGGCAGCAGUAGGGAAUCUUCCGCAAUGGGCGAAAGCCUGACGGAGCCACGCCGCGUGAGUGAUGAAGGUCUUCGGAUCGUAAAACUCUGUUAUUAGGGAAGAACAUAUGUGUAAGUAACUGUGCACAUCUUGACGGUACCUAAUCAGAAAGCCACGGCUAACUACGUG
This 497-nucleotide ribosomal RNA is filed under the name uncultured bacterium. RNAcentral's name for it is "partial 16S ribosomal RNA". It matches the Rfam family "Bacterial small subunit ribosomal RNA", at positions 28 to 507 of the family's 1533-position model. The record is from RNAcentral.